UUCCCAGUUUUAGAAAUGGAAGAGAACUUAUCUCAUAUGAGUUAAGCUUGUUUGGCUCUGGUUUCAUAAAAUCUGCCCUUAGCUAACCAGCCCAAGGCUGGCACCAACGGCUGGACAGAAUGACUGUUUGCUCUAGAAGCAGGAGUGAUUAAAAAACACGUUGUUUCACACACAUCUGCACAAAUAUACACCACAAACCACAUGCCUUUCUUUUCAUUCUAAACUAUGGAGUGAAAUCAUAACCUCACAUUGACACCAGGAGUGAUUUGUCUUCUCUUGCAAGAACAAAUAAUUUUACCACAAAUGCAUAUUUAUAUUCCCUGCGUGUCUUCCUUGUUUUCUCCUUUAUUUUCCAGUUAUACAUUUUAGAAACUGAGAUGGAGAUUUAAAAAUAAAAAAUUAAAUGAGAAAAUAAAAACUCUUCAUUGCUUGAGUCCAAAAUGCUUCCAGCCCCUGAUAGGCUAAUGGAUGAUAUUGUUACAGUUCAACAAACAUGUAUGUCAUUGUGACAUAAUAACUAAAGGUGAUUUCUCUUCCGCUGGUCCAGGGCAGGUGACACCAAAGGUGGGCUAACCACAGGGAAAGACUGCCAUCUGCUGGAUUGUAAGAGAAGGGAAAAGAAAAAAUGUCAAGUCUAUAAAUGCUCACAGUUAACCAUUCUAGAGUCCAUCCAUGUCUACAAUCUGUAACAUAUCAAUGUUGCUAUCAAUCCUUGGGAAUAGAAGGCUGGCAGAGUGUAACAGGCAGAGUACAAUGUGUGAUGCUGUGCUGCUACAUUCUGCUCAGAGAUCCUAGAAGCUUGCGCUGAUGCUGAGUCUCCAGCAGCCUAGGUCAGAGGCUCUGAUUACAAAACCCAGAGCCCCUGCCCCUGCCUUGUACCCUCUUGAAUCAGGAGUAAAAAGUAAAUAUGUAUUGUUAUUAAGCCAGUGAAAUUUGGGGAUUGUUUGUAUUUGCAGCAUAACCCAGCCAAUCCUGAUGGAAACAAAGGGUUAGUUAAACGUAAAAUAAAUAAGGUAACGCAU
This 1022-nucleotide long non-coding RNA is filed under the name Equus caballus (horse). RNAcentral describes it as "lncRNA (ENSECAG00000048138.1)". The record is from RNAcentral. Lineage: Eukaryota; Metazoa; Chordata; Mammalia; Perissodactyla; Equidae.